RNAcentral lists this ribosomal RNA (111 nucleotides) under Melanoleuca communis. RNAcentral's name for it is "partial 25S ribosomal RNA". It matches the Rfam family "Eukaryotic large subunit ribosomal RNA", at positions 1 to 110 of the family's 3401-position model. The record is from RNAcentral. Lineage: Eukaryota; Fungi; Basidiomycota; Agaricomycetes; Agaricales; Pluteaceae.
UUGACCUCAAAUCAGGUUGGACUACCCGCUGAACUUAAGCAUAUCAAUAAGCGGAGGAAAAGAAACUAACAAGUAUUCCCCUAGUAACUGCGAGUGAAGCGGGAAAAGCUC